GAUUUCUGGUUCGGGCCAAUAGGCUUGUGAGUGCCGGCGCGCGUUUACCAUCCUUCUAGAAAACGAAUUAGCAUGGAAUAAUAAUCUAGGACUUCGGUUCUAUUUUGUUGGUUUCUAUAACUGAAGUAAUGAUUGAUAGGGAUAGUUGGGGGUGCUAGUAUUGGCCGGCCAGAGGUGAAAUUCUUGGAUUCGGUCAAGACUAACUUAUGCGAAAGCAUUCACCAAGGAUGUCUUCUUCUGUCUCUUAUACAC
This 252-nucleotide ribosomal RNA is filed under the name Cercomonadida environmental sample. RNAcentral describes it as "partial 18S ribosomal RNA". The stretch from base 62 to 238 matches the Rfam family "Eukaryotic small subunit ribosomal RNA", at positions 798 to 974 of the family's 1831-position model. Lineage: Eukaryota; Cercozoa; Cercomonadida. The record is from RNAcentral.